This 381-nucleotide ribosomal RNA is filed under the name uncultured eukaryote. Its description in RNAcentral is "partial 18S ribosomal RNA". It matches the Rfam family "Eukaryotic small subunit ribosomal RNA", at positions 592 to 976 of the family's 1831-position model. The record is from RNAcentral.
CAAUAGCGUAUAUUAAAGCUGUUGCGGUUAAAAAGCUCGUAGUUGGAUUUCUGUCAAGGACAACUGGUCCGCCCUCCGGGUGAGCACAUAGUUUGGUCUUGGCAUCUUGCUGGAAGCUGUUGCUGCACUUGGCUGUGUGGCGCAGCGUCCAGCACUUUCACUUUGAGGAAAUUGGAGUGUUUCAAGCAGGCACAUGCCUUUGGACACAGUAGCAUGGAAUAAUUAGAUUGGGCUUUUGCUCCAAUUUGUCGGUUUCUGGAGCUGAGGUGAGAAUUAAUGGGGAUUGUUGGUGGCAUCCGAAUUUAGCCGUCAGAGGUGAAAUUCUUGGAUCUGCUAAAGACGGACAACUGCGAAAGCGUUUGCCCAGGAUGUUUUCAUUGA